Molecule: ribosomal RNA, 253 nt
Filed under: uncultured bacterium
Lineage: Bacteria
Also listed under: 1 other name
Description: partial 16S ribosomal RNA
Rfam family: Bacterial small subunit ribosomal RNA
Source: RNAcentral
UACGAACUGUGCGAACGUUAUUCGGAAUCACUGGGCUUAAAGGGUGCGUAGGCGGUUAUCUAAGUCAGGUGUGAAAUCUCUCGGCUCAACCGGGAAACUGCGCUUGAAACUGGGUGACUGGAGGGAUGCAGGGGUGUGUGGAACUUCCGGUGGAGCGGUGAAAUGUGUAGAUAUCGGAAGGAACGCCAGCAGCGAAAGCGGCACACUGGGCAUCUACUGACGCUGAGGCACGAAAGCUAGGGGAGUGAACGGG